Molecule: ribosomal RNA, 495 nt
Filed under: uncultured soil bacterium
Lineage: Bacteria
Description: bacterial SSU rRNA
Rfam family: Bacterial small subunit ribosomal RNA
Source: RNAcentral
AGAUUGAACGCUGGCGGCAGGCCUAACACAUGCAAGUCGAGCGGUAGAGAGGUGCUUGCACCUCUUGAGAGCGGCGGACGGGUGAGUAAAGCCUAGGAAUCUGCCUGGUAGUGGGGGAUAACGCUCGGAAACGGACGCUAAUACCGCAUACGUCCUACGGGAGAAAGCAGGGGACCUUCGGGCCUUGCGCUAUCAGAUGAGCCUAGGUCGGAUUAGCUAGUUGGUGAGGUAAUGGCUCACCAAGGCGACGAUCCGUAACUGGUCUGAGAGGAUGAUCAGUCACACUGGAACUGAGACACGGUCCAGACUCCUACGGGAGGCAGCAGUGGGGAAUAGUUGGACAAGUGGGCGAAAGCCUGAUCCAGCCAUGCCGCGUGUGUGAAGAAGGUCUUCGGAUUGUAAAGCACUUUAAGUUGGAGGAAGGCAGUUAACCUAAUUACGUUAGUGUUUUGACGUUACGACAGAAUAAGCACCGGCUAACUCUGUGCCAGCACG